This 464-nucleotide ribosomal RNA is filed under the name uncultured bacterium. RNAcentral describes it as "partial 16S ribosomal RNA". It matches the Rfam family "Bacterial small subunit ribosomal RNA", at positions 339 to 795 of the family's 1533-position model. The record is from RNAcentral.
CUACGGGUGGCAGCAGUGGGGAAUAUUGCACAAUGGGCGCAAGCCUGAUGCAGCCAUGCCGCGUGUAUGAAGAAGGCCUUCGGGUUGUAAAGUACUUUCAGCGGGGAGGAAGGGAGUAAAGUUAAUACCUUUGCUCAUUGACGUUACCCGCAGAGGAAGCACCGGCUAACUCCGUGCCAGCAGCCGCGGUAAUACGGAGGGUGCAAGCGUUAAUCGGAAAUACUGGGCGUAAAGCGCACGCAGGCGGUUUGUUAAGUCAGAUGUGAAAUCCCCGGGCUCAACCUGGGAACUGCAUCUGAUACUGGCAAGCUUGAGUCUCGUAGAGGGGGGUAGAAUUCCAGGUGUAGCGGUGAAAUGCGUAGAGAUCUGGAGGAAUACCGGUGGCGAAGGCGGCCCCCUGGACGAAGGCUGACGCUCAGGUGCGAAAGCGUGGGGAGCAAACAGGAUUAGAUACCCUCGUAGUC